Molecule: ribosomal RNA, 718 nt
Filed under: uncultured Pseudomonas sp.
Lineage: Bacteria; Pseudomonadati; Pseudomonadota; Gammaproteobacteria; Pseudomonadales; Pseudomonadaceae
Description: bacterial SSU rRNA
Rfam family: Bacterial small subunit ribosomal RNA
Source: RNAcentral
CUUGAUUCAGCGGCGGACGGGUGAGUAAUGCCUAGGAAUCUGCCUGGUAGUGGGGGACAACGUUUCGAAAGGAACGCUAAUACCGCAUACGUCCUACGGGAGAAAGCAGGGGACCUUCGGGCCUUGCGCUAUCAGAUGAGCCUAGGUCGGAUUAGCUAGUUGGUGGGGUAAUGGCUCACCAAGGCGACGAUCCGUAACUGGUCUGAGAGGGUGAUCAGUCACACUGGAACUGAGACACGGUCCAGACUCCUACGGGAGGCAGCAGUGGGGAAUAUUGGACAAUGGGCGAAAGCCUGAUCCAGCCAUGCCGCGUGUGUGAAGAAGGUCUUCGGAUUGUAAAGCACUUUAAGUUGGGAGGAAGGGCAGUAAGCUAAUACCUUGCUGUUUUGACGUUACCGACAGAAUAAGCACCGGCUAACUCUGUGCCAGCAGCCGCGGUAAUACAGAGGGUGCAAGCGUUAAUCGGAAUUACUGGGCGUAAAGCGCGCGUAGGUGGUUUGUUAAGUUGGAUGUGAAAGCCCCGGGCUCAACCUGGGAACUGCAUCCAAAACUGGCAAGCUAGAGUACGGUAGAGGGUGGUGGAAUUUCCUGUGUAGCGGUGAAAUGCGUAGAUAUAGGAAGGAACACCAGUGGCGAAGGCGACCACCUGGACUGAUACUGACACUGAGGUGCGAAAGCGUGGGGAGCAAACAGGGUUAGAUACCCUGGUAGUCCACGC